RNAcentral lists this ribosomal RNA (447 nucleotides) under uncultured bacterium. Its description in RNAcentral is "partial 16S ribosomal RNA". It matches the Rfam family "Bacterial small subunit ribosomal RNA", at positions 338 to 795 of the family's 1533-position model. The record is from RNAcentral.
CCUACGGGUGGCAGCAGUCGAGAAUCAUUCACAAUGGGGGAAACCCUGAUGGUGCGACGCCGCGUGGGGGAAUGAAGGUCUUCGGAUUGUAAACCCCUGUCAUGUGGGAGCAAAUUAAAAAGAUAGUACCACAAGAGGAAGAGACGGCUAACUCUGUGACAGCAGCCGCGGUAAUACAGAGGUCGCAAGCGUUGUUCGGAAAUCCAUGGGCGUAAAGCGUGCGUUGGCUGUUUCGCAAGUCGUGUGUGAAAGGCGCGGGAUCAACCCGCGGACGGCACAUGAUACUGCGAGACUAGAGUAAAGGAGGGGGAAGCGGAAUUCUCGGUGUAGCAGUGAAAUGCGGAGAUAUCGGGAGGAACACUCGUGGCGAAGGCGGGUUCCUGGACAUUAACUGACGCUGAGGCACGAAGGCGAGGGGAGCGAAAGGGAUUAGAUACCCCAGUAGUC